This 468-nucleotide ribosomal RNA is filed under the name uncultured bacterium. RNAcentral describes it as "partial 16S ribosomal RNA". It matches the Rfam family "Bacterial small subunit ribosomal RNA", at positions 28 to 507 of the family's 1533-position model. The record is from RNAcentral.
GACGAACGCUGGCGGCGUGCUUAACACAUGCAAGUCGAACGGAAAGGCCCUGCUUUUGUGGGGUGCUCGAGUGGCGAACGGGUGAGUAACACGUGAGUAACCUGCCCUUGACUUUGGGAUAACUUCAGGAAACAGGGGCUAAUACCGGAUAGGAGCUCCUGCUGCAUGGUGGGGGUUGGAAAGUUUCGGCGGUUGGGGAUGGACUCGCGGCUUAUCAGCUUGUUGGUGGGGUAGUGGCUUAUCAAGGCUUUGACGGGUAGCCGGCCUGAGAGGGUGACCGGCCACAUUGGGACUGAGAUACGGCCCAGACUCCUACGGGAGGCAGCAGUGGGGAAUAUUGCACAAUGGGCGGAAGCCUGAUGCAGCAACGCCGCGUGCGGGAUGACGGCCUUCGGGUUGUAAACCGCUUUCGCCUGUGACGAAGCGUGAGUGACGGUAAUGGGUAAAGAAGCACCGGCUAACUACGUG